GCUCGGGGCCAGCGAUGGUCCCCUAGUGGAUGGCUUUCCUCUCCUCCUCUGGGGCUUCCGGUUGGCAUCGCCUGGACCAUCUCCCCAGCCCUUUGAUCAAGGCUGUCCUGAAAUGCCCUCCCCAGCAACUCCCCCGUGUAAACCCUAUGUUCCCAUAAUCAUAAUCGCGGUGGCUUCGUUUUUCUGACUGAACAUGAUCUGAGUGCCAGAUGUGCUUCCAGGGUGGCAGCGCCUCUAGGAGAGGAGUCUGGAGUGAUCCCUGAUCCGAUGGGUGGUCCUGGGACCUGUGGAGAAGGUGCACUCACACGUGAUCCCGGAGUGGUCACGCGGUUAUCACUGCGAUCAUCUGGAGCCUGGCGCAUGUUUACACAUGGCGCGGCUCUCAGGACCCAUGGCUGCAGCUUGCACCAGGGUCAUAAAAUUGCAGGGUGCAGGGACUGGAUCGCCCUGGGACUCUGAACACCCGCUCCUGACUUUCUGUGCUGGCCUGAAGGAAGCCCUUAUCUCCAGGAUCCACAGGUCUGCAAUUUCUGGGAACCAGUGCAACAGGCUGAGUCAGCCGUGCGGGAUUCACAGCCCUGCAGGUUCUCCAGGUGGAGGUGACAUAGGUGGGGAGAGGCAGGUGGGCAGAAUCUGAGAAGCUGAGACCCUGAAUUCCCCAGUCACUCAGGGCACCGCUUCCUGCUCUUGCCCCGACCACCCUCUCCUGGCCUGAAAGACUCGAGUCCACUGUCACCUCCUAUCACCUAGCACCAGCCUUAAGUCCCAGGGUCAGAGCCAGGAGGAGGGACCAUGCACACAAAAAGAACUGCAAGAUCUUGCCUGUUUUUGUCAACAGAAACACAGGGAAUAUACGUGGCACUGGCUCCUAAGGGUGAUGGACCAGGGUGGAAGACGUGGAAGGUUCGGCCACCGGUGCCCUGACUGCGUCCGCUGGCUUGUGUUGGUCUGAGUGACCAUCAGUGGCUCUAACAGUUCUGAAACACAGACUUGAUGGUUGCCAUCGUAAGAUGAAGCCAAAUGCUACCAGGAAAGACAAACAUCUCAGGAGAGGGAGCUGUCGCCGUGGCUGGGUUUCUUACGCAUGACCUUCUCACCCACCGCGUCACUUCUCCUCCAGAGUCCAGAGGACCCCCUCCCCACAGCAUGGAUGAGAAGAGAGCCCCCACUGUUAGACUCCACCACAGCCGUGACCUGAGGCCGCCGUCACCGUGAGAGAUGCUGCCAUUAUCUCAGAGCCCCCCAAAUUCGAUGGGAAAACGAAAUCUCAGAAGGGCAGGGGCCCGGGGCGAGUCGUCGAUGAGGUGGCUGUGGUCACGCAGUGGGCAGCAGGACUGCCCAAACACGGCCAUGGCUUGGCCCACAGAGAUCUCUGAUGACAACCCGUGAAUCACAGCAUUCCUGGGACUCAAGGAGAGAGCUGUGAUCGUUUGUUCUCUUUUGCUUGUAACAGAAUACCUAAGCCUGUUACAGUGGGCAGCCCGUGUGGUGUGAGCAGGGCAGAAGAGGGUCCACUCACCCCAGGAGCGUCAGCGACCAUCAGGUGCUGGUCAGGCGGUUGUCACACUGUCUCUCUAAAGUAAUAACUGGCCACAGCCGGGGCCAGGGAAAGCCAGGCUCCUAAUAGAAAACACCUGAAGCUG
This 1643-nucleotide long non-coding RNA is filed under the name Homo sapiens (human). RNAcentral's name for it is "HSALNT0083296". Lineage: Eukaryota; Metazoa; Chordata; Mammalia; Primates; Hominidae. The record is from RNAcentral.